RNAcentral lists this long non-coding RNA (2296 nucleotides) under Mus pahari (shrew mouse). RNAcentral describes it as "lncRNA (MGP_PahariEiJ_G0004243.1)". Lineage: Eukaryota; Metazoa; Chordata; Mammalia; Rodentia; Muridae. The record is from RNAcentral.
AGAGUUCAUGUGGGAUGGGACCUCCUGAACUCUUUUAGACAGGGCCGGCGCCACCUGCUGUGACAACUCUUGAGAAGACUAGAAAACCAGAUAGAAUGAGACAGCAUGGAUAAGUAAGCCACAGCUGGCCAUACUCCUGCAUCAGCUCUACCCCUUUUCUGUCGAGUGAAUCCAGAAAAGAAAAUUAAAGCCUUCAGUUGGAAUGGUACCAGCCCUACCUGGGAGUAGGGAAAAGAUGGCAGCUCCAGUGAGCCCUUGUAGCAGAAGAAUGUCAAGAUAGUGUUCUGCCCAGCACCAGAGUGGAAUCUGUCAGACCACUCGCAGCACUGCUGUUUGAUCUUAUCGGGCUGCUGCAGCGGUGAAGCUUAGAUGUCUGGAGAGCAUUAAACAAAUCUUAUUGACUUCCCAGAGUGAAGAAUGUUCAGCUCGGCACCAUGCGGUUGAGAGAUAAACACUGCAGAAUGUAAACAAAGAACAUUGAUGAAGCACUUGGGUGAACUUGGGCAAGACAUUUGUCCAAUCAAGUUAUCAAAGCCGAAUUCCCGUUAGUCCUUUUGGAACUCUUUUUGCUUAUGAAGCAGAUAUGGAUUGGAGGGCAGGCUGGUCCCUAUUGUUGUUCUUCAGGCUUGCUUGUGUUAGGUCAGCAUGUUAGUUCCCCCUACCUCCGUAAAGACUGAGAGCCACAUUUGGAUCAGGACAGGAAGUACACCCCCUCCUUAAACUCUUUACUUUCAGGAGAAGUCAUGGGCGGUGAAGAUGUUUCCUGCCAUUCUUUACAGAAACAAGAGUCACUUCAGGGUUGUUUCAUUAUCAGUGGAGUAGCUGUCCCAUGGACCUCUGCCCCUUAAGAGUGAAAGAGCAGUCAAGGCAGAGCCCACUAGCCUCACGCCGUCACAGUUGCAAGCAAGCAAAGCUGUCACCUUCCUGUAUUAUCUACAAAUGGUGUUUGUUUCCUUUGACGUAUAUUCUAACACUUGGGGCAGGAGGGAUUUCUCGAAAAAACAUUAUUGUUGAGUAUACCAAUUCCCUGCCCCCAGCCACCCUUUUUGUUUCCUUUUCAAGACUCCAGGAAUCGCUAAAUGGCAUAUCCUGGACAACCAACACUCUUCAGCUAAAAAUACCAGAGAGUGAGCUUAUCUCAAACAAUGCUUCCUCUCCAGGGGCUUCAUAGACAUUAUCUCAUUUAUCCUUAAAAACACCCUAUGAGAUAGGGCAUGGCCAAAGAACUGGAUCCCAGAAAGGUAAGGAAGCUUUAAGACAAAAGGUCAUUGGUGGAGGUUUGAUUCUGAAGCUCAGCAGAACAGCUCAGAUGCAUAACUUUCAGGCUGUGGAAUCCACUCACCCGGCAUCAAUGACUUGACUCCAGGAGCCCAGAUACUCCUUAUAAAACAAGACUCCUAGCAUACAGGAAAAGACGAAGCUUAGAGGAAAUUGGACCCCCAAAGCUACUUCUUCAGGGUAAUGAUGAUUUCUUUGUUAUCUAUAACAAACUGGAGAACAACCUUGAUCAUCUUUUCAAAUUCUCCCAUUGCCCUCCUAGCCUCAUCUGUUAACAUGUCUUCAUGUCUCAUCUAUACCAACUUAUUGGAACAACUGGCUUAGUUGUCUCAGCAGAACAGAAUAUAUAUCUCUCCCUUCUAGAAGUCAUACAUGACUUGGUUAUAUGCAUUUCAAAAACAGAUUCCAUCAUCAACAAAAUGGAUUGUUCUACCGUUCUAUAUAUUGUCCUAUAUUCUUUUUCUCAAGACUUGGUCCCAUGCCAAACCUGGGAGUCAUGGCAGCUUCCAGGCCCUCUUAGUAGCAUAUGCAAAUCCUGUCACUGAUGUAUCUCCUGCAUGCCCCCCAUGACUAAUUUUCUUGCCACCCAUACUCAUGCCCAAGGGGAAUGAGCUUGGAAGCAUGAACUGACUAGCUUCCUCCUCUCUGGCUGUCAGCUGAUUUAGCAGGAGGUUGAGGGGAGACAAGAGUAUGUUGUUAGUUUUACCUUAUUUCUUCCCUGUAGGAUAACUAUGACUGAGCCCUGGCCACAAGGCCAUCUCCAGCAAACAUUCCUUUCAAACACUGUUCUUUGUCUGGGUUUUUAGUAAGCAUCACUUCCUGACGGCCACCAGCCUGGAAAUUUUAAAGGAUCCUCCUGCUAAUGUUGCCAAUUCUUUUGUCAUCCCUAUUAUAUGUAUUAGAGCCACAACACAUUCUGUAAAUAGUUCUUUCAUAAAUUUGUUACAGCUCCUAGAUAGAAUGGAUUCCAUUGGUCCUAGUUUGCUUGUCUGAUCUUGUAAUAAAACCAUGAUCAGAU